AGCAGCGCGCGGUAAUACGUAGGGCGCAAGCGUUAUCCGGAAUUAUUGGGCGUAAAGAGCUCGUAGGCGGUUUGUCGCGUCUGCCGUGAAAGUCCGGGGCUCAACUCCGGAUCUGCGGUGGGUACGGGCAGACUAGAGUGAUGUAGGGGAGACUGGAAUUCCUGGUGUAGCGGUGAAAUGCGCAGAUAUCAGGAGGAACACCGAUGGCGAAGGCAGGUCUCUGGGCAUUAACUGACGCUGAGGAGCGAAAGCAUGGGGAGCGAACAGGAUUAGAUACCCUGGUAGUCCAUGCCGUAAACGUUGGGCACUAGGUGUGGGGGACAUUCCACGUUUUCCGCGCCGUAGCUAACGCAUUAAGUGCCCCGC
Molecule: ribosomal RNA, 366 nt
Filed under: Arthrobacter pascens
Lineage: Bacteria; Bacillati; Actinomycetota; Actinomycetes; Micrococcales; Micrococcaceae
Description: bacterial SSU rRNA
Rfam family: Bacterial small subunit ribosomal RNA
Source: RNAcentral